UACGGAGGGAGCUAGCGUUAUUCGGAAUUACUGGGCGUAAAGCGCACGUAGGCGGCUUUGUAAGUUAGAGGUGAAAGCCUGGAGCUCAACUCCAGAAUUGCCUUUAAGACUGCAUCGCUCGAAUCCGGGAGAGGUGAGUGGAAUUCCGGGUGUAGAGGUGAAAUUCGUAGAGAUUCGGAGGAACACCAGUGGCGAAGGCGGCCCUCUGGACCGGAAUUGACGCUGAGGGUCGAAAGCGUGGGGAGCAAACAGG
RNAcentral lists this ribosomal RNA (253 nucleotides) under uncultured bacterium. RNAcentral's name for it is "partial 16S ribosomal RNA". It matches the Rfam family "Bacterial small subunit ribosomal RNA", at positions 524 to 776 of the family's 1533-position model. The record is from RNAcentral.